UCAAAAGUUUUUUUUUUUUUUUGGCUAAUUCUCGUGCUUUUCUCCUUGCAAACACCUUGGUAAGUUGUCAGUAGUUUUAUACUGAACUGAAAGCACAUCCAGUUCCCUCAAAAAGGCCCCAAGAGCAACAUUUUGGCCAAUGCUUAUCAUCUUUUUGAAACAUUGGAGAUUUUUGCAAGUCAUCUUUUAACUCUUUAUCAGCCUUAUGGUUAAGAAAAAUUGUCAGGCCCACCGAUAAACCUUCAUUGACCUUGUUCAUAGUUGCUUUUAGUUCAUUUUCACUUGGGGAAGUUUCAGCUUCGAAACUUGACUUUGGUGCUUCCAUACAAUGGGGCAAGUGAGCUAGGGCAAGCUUUUAACUUCUACAAGUAUUCCAGCAUAUUAUGUGCAGUGUCCUAUAAAGAUGAACAACUAGAAAUAGGAUAUGUAAUAUUUCAAUGAUAUUGUUGAGUUAUGAACCUAUAGGCAAGGAACUUUCUUCAAGAUUGGUUGUUGGUUGUUUGGAGGAGCUACAUUGGCCAACUGGACCUUUAGAUGGCUUUUGAGUAGCUUGGUCUUUAACUAUGAACUUUUGGUUGAAUUGCUCCCUCCACUUUUUGCUCAAUAUUUGAAGAGAUUGGGCCUUUUUUAGAAACCUUCAUUUUGCACCUGCUCACACUAGAUCCUCUACUUACAACUGAUCUUGAUUCCUAUAGGUCAAUGGUUAGAAGAUACAAAAAAAAUUCUUAGUCUCGAAAAUUUUACCUCACAUGGAGUCUCCGUUUAUACAUCGACAGUGAGCUUUUGCCUUCAUUCUAGCUUUCUUCAUAGGCGGAGCCACAUCAAAGAUUGGGCAUGGAACAUCUUCUAUUGCAAAAUAUGAUGGAUUGUAGUUAGACCAAUCACGCCUAUAUGAUCGAGUCAAGCAUAAUAUGACUUUAAAUGAUUGGUUGAGCAAGCUCACAAUUAUCACAAAACCAAAGUUGAUACACAGCAAAGUUCCAUUGGUAGUUCCUAACCAUGACAGUCAAUUUCAUUUUCUUCUUUCUAUUCUUCUUAGCACUUGCUAGCAAUCCCAAAUUUGGUUAUGAGGUCAAGGAAGUUUUAACUUGAAAAGUCCCAUAAACCACUCCAAUAAAUAUUGUAACUCUCUGCUUGUCAUAUUCUUGGUCACCUUGGAACCUGUACUUGUAGAUCAGCUCCACUUUAACUAUACCAAGCAUUCUUGGUCAAGAUUUACUUAAACCUAUGGAAACUUUGUAAAGCUAAGAUUUCUCUUCACCAUAUGGUGGGUCAUCAAACAUGACUCCUACGCCAUACAAGGUAUUUGUUAUCAUGGCUUACCUGAACAGGAAGCAAUUUGAGGUUCCUGACCAAAAGAAAAGGGCUUAUGCAAGAAGAUUGUUAUGGAGUGGGAUUCAAAAUCAUGGAAAUUGGAUCAAAUCAAAAAUAGCUAUUUCAUGCCAAAGUUCAUUAUAUUGGGCCUCAACUUGGCUGAGCCAACAUAGAUAAUAUUGGCUUGGAAGAAGCCAUGACCUACUAAGUGUGAAUUUGACCCAAAUAACCAUGUCAUUGGAUUUGGGAAACCUAAGGGGGUCUUUGUUGUGGUUAGGAAACCAUUCAUCAUAAGAGGAAUCAUGUUAAUUAAAAAUAGGUUCCGAUGUGUAUGUUUUAGUUGAUUCGUCCAAAGGGAUAAACAACUUGUAGGUGACUGAAUCUCCUUCUAAGUUCUUCACUUUCUUCAACCGUUGGAAAGGUGUCAUAUCUUCAAAAAUCAGUUUCUUUCCCUUUCUCAUUGGAACAAAAAAUUCAAAGGAAGCAGCCCUUGAAACUUAUAGAGGGAAUUUGGCAAAAAGGAUUUUGCAAGGUGGGGUGAAAAUGACUUUACCUGGGGGUGUUUAAACAGGAAAAUAAAAGUAACUAAAAACAUUAAGCAAUAAGUGAAAGUUAAACAUUAAGCAAUAAGUGAAAGUUAGCAUCACUAAUGGAUUCCAUGCAACUGGAGCACAUGCUCCUUCUUUCACAUACACGUUGGACCCAUACUCCAUAUUUUGAGGAGUAACUGAAAUUUUGAGAGUGUAAGGUGCAUUAUUUUUUAGUGAACCUGGAGUUUUCUAUAAUUAGCCCCUCGUUUUUCAGAAAUAUGGAUUGAACUAUAAUCGUCCCACUUCCUGAAUCAGCCUCGUGUUUUUGUGGACAAGUUAUUCUUCUCCAGGGAUGAUUUGGUCUUAGUAUCCCUUUUAUAGAACUUUCCUUCUGUCCUCAAACCAAUGGCACUAUCCAUAUCAAAUACAUUAAAAUAAAGGAAGGAAUAAAGCCUCACCAGACGCAACCAACUGCUCAAUUAUUUCAACUAAAAGCUCAAAUUGGCCGCUAAACCUUAAACCAUUGUCCCCUAAAAGUUCAAAUACUCAAAACUUUUAGUAUCCAUCACGAACACAUUCAUAAAUAAAUGAAUUCCUGCUCAAUCAUGAAUAACAAUCAAUUAGAACUUUUAGCCAUUAUUUUCCCAUGCUUUUUCAGCAACCAAGCGCAAUGGCAACUCAACCAAACCCCCAGAAUUCAUAAUGAGUAGCCAAAACCCACAAACAAACAUCUAUCGAAAAAAUAUAAGCCCAGUUCAUAAAAGCAAACAAAGCAAGAAAUGGAAUCGAUAAAACAAUUCAACGCAGAGCAACAUUAAACGAAUAAUGAGCGUGAGAUUUUGAUACCUGUACCUAGGGAACAUAGGAGGA
RNAcentral lists this unclassified non-coding RNA (2714 nucleotides) under Hevea brasiliensis (rubber tree). The record is from RNAcentral. Lineage: Eukaryota; Viridiplantae; Streptophyta; Magnoliopsida; Malpighiales; Euphorbiaceae.